RNAcentral lists this unclassified non-coding RNA (420 nucleotides) under Hevea brasiliensis (rubber tree). The record is from RNAcentral. Lineage: Eukaryota; Viridiplantae; Streptophyta; Magnoliopsida; Malpighiales; Euphorbiaceae.
AUAAUUAUUAAAGUAGCAAAAUUUGGUGUUGGUGGAUUCACACCUUGGGCACUUUAGGGCUGCCUCAGGCAGUGGUAUCUUUGCUAACCGGGCUCGAUCAGCCAUCGAACCAGGUCUAAUCGAGCCAGUACCACCAUCGCCGACACAAGGAGGUGGAGGAAGAGGCGGAAGCUGGAGGUUUUCAUUGCUAGCUCCUCCUUGUUGAUUUGGUUGCUGCUGCCAAUUGGGAGGAUCUAAAUAGACUGGAACUGAAGAGAAAACCAUGGUUUUUUUUUUUCCUUUUUUUUUUUUUUUUUUUUUUAGCUAGCAUAGUUAGGAAAAGGUUGAUGGGUCUUUAGGAAAGAAAAUAUGGUGGAGAAUCACACCAAGAGAAUACCAGAGCCAAGAAAGCAAGAGAAAAAAAGAGAAUUAAAGGGGAAG